AACAUCAACAACGACAUCAUCAACCACAUCUACAGCAACACCAACAACAUCAACCACAAUUACACCUCCCCCAGAAGAAAUUAAGUUUUGGGUUGUAAUAUUGAUCUGUCUGGCUGUCAUCAUUGUUCUCUGGGGAGUCUGCAUUGCUGGGUUCUUUUGCUUCAGAAUUCUUUUUAUUAACCAAGGAUUCUUCUUCCUGAAUUGAUCACCAUAACAGCACCUAUUAACUACAACUGGAAGACAAACGGGACAAAUAA
This is a long non-coding RNA of Xenopus laevis (African clawed frog), 257 nucleotides long. RefSeq lists it as uncharacterized. NCBI's taxonomy places the organism in Eukaryota, Metazoa, Chordata, Amphibia, Anura, Pipidae. The transcript has 4 exons. The record is from RefSeq and is a predicted model, not a curated record.